This 253-nucleotide ribosomal RNA is filed under the name uncultured bacterium. RNAcentral describes it as "partial 16S ribosomal RNA". It matches the Rfam family "Bacterial small subunit ribosomal RNA", at positions 524 to 776 of the family's 1533-position model. The record is from RNAcentral.
UACGAAGGGGGCUAGCGUUGCUCGGAAUUACUGGGCGUAAAGGGCGCGUAGGCGGACAGUUUAGUCAGAGGUGAAAGCCCAGGGCUCAACCUUGGAAUUGCCUUUGAUACUGGCUGUCUUGAGUUCGGGAGGGGUGAGUGGAAUGCCGAGUGUAGAGGUGAAAUUCGUAGAUAUUCGGCGGAACACCAGUGGCGAAGGCGACUCACUGGCCCGAUACUGACGCUGAGGCGCGAAAGCGUGGGGAGCAAACAGG